RNAcentral lists this ribosomal RNA (497 nucleotides) under uncultured bacterium. RNAcentral's name for it is "partial 16S ribosomal RNA". It matches the Rfam family "Bacterial small subunit ribosomal RNA", at positions 28 to 507 of the family's 1533-position model. The record is from RNAcentral.
GAUGAACGCUGGCGGCGUGCCUAAUACAUGCAAGUCGAGCGAACAGACGAGGAGCUUGCUCCUCUGACGUUAGCGGCGGACGGGUGAGUAACACGUGGAUAACCUACCUAUAAGACUGGGAUAACUUCGGGAAACCGGAGCUAAUACCGGAUAAUAUAUUGAACCGCAUGGUUCAAUAGUGAAAGACGGUUUUGCUGUCACUUAUAGAUGGAUCCGCGCCGCAUUAGCUAGUUGGUAAGGUAACGGCUUACCAAGGCAACGAUGCGUAGCCGACCUGAGAGGGUGAUCGGCCACACUGGAACUGAGACACGGUCCAGACGACUACGGGAGGCAGCAGUAGGGAAUAUUCCGCAAUGGGCGAAAGCCUGACGGAGCAACGCCGCGUGAGUGAUGAAGGUCUUCGGAUCGUAAAACUCUGUUAUUAGGGAAGAACAAAUGUGUAAGUAAAUAUGCACGUAUUGACGGUACCUAAUCAGAAAGCCACGGCUAACUACGUG